AGCUUGCUUGUUGGGGUUGUAGGACUGAACAUUAGAGUUACCAAAGUGCGACGUAGUCGCAACAGUUGGGAAGCUGUGCCAUAGAGGGUGAAAGCCCCGUAGACGAAACGUCACACUCUCUGUUCAGGAUCCUGAGUACGGCGGGACACGUGAAACCCCGUCGGAACCCGCGAGGACCAUCUCGCAAGGCUAAAUACUCCCUAGUGACCGAUAGUGAACCAGUACCGUGAGGGAAAGGUG
Molecule: ribosomal RNA, 240 nt
Filed under: Limosilactobacillus reuteri
Lineage: Bacteria; Bacillati; Bacillota; Bacilli; Lactobacillales; Lactobacillaceae
Description: Lactobacillus reuteri partial 23S ribosomal RNA
Rfam family: Bacterial large subunit ribosomal RNA
Source: RNAcentral